UCCGCGUGUAGUGGUGAAAUGCGUAGAUAUGCGGAGGAACACCAGUGGCGAAAGCGGCCUCCUGGACCAUUUCUGACACUCAGACACGAAAGCUAAGGUAGCAAACGGGAUUAGAGACCCCGGUAGUCUUAGCUGUAAACGAUGUGAACUUAGUGUCGGUGGGGUUAAAUCCAUCGGUACUGAAGCAAACGCGAUAAGUUCACCGCCUGGGGACUACGGCCGCAAGGUUAAAACUCAAAAGAAUUGACGG
RNAcentral lists this ribosomal RNA (250 nucleotides) under uncultured anaerobic bacterium. RNAcentral's name for it is "partial 16S ribosomal RNA". It matches the Rfam family "Bacterial small subunit ribosomal RNA", at positions 668 to 916 of the family's 1533-position model. The record is from RNAcentral.